GGUUUGUUUGUGAAUUUGAUGUCCUAAUGGAAGAAUAUUGUUAUAGCUCUGAUAACAAACUCAAAAAAAUUAAUAGUUUAUUUCUCUAUCUAAGCUCGAGUCGAUUUGACUCAAGAUGAAGUUUGAGUUGACUCAAAUAGAAAUCUCAAAUCAACUCCUGGUCGGGACCACAUCUUUCUACCCAAAGCUCCCAUUGCCUUUUUCACUUAUCAUUUUCUCUAUUCACUCUAGAAUAGUGCCCCAGACUCCCAUUAAUCCUUGUGAAGCUCUCCAUCUAUCUAUUUUCCUUGAUUCAAAUCUUUUUUUAUGUGCAAUG
Molecule: long non-coding RNA, 316 nt
Filed under: Elaeis guineensis (African oil palm)
Lineage: Eukaryota; Viridiplantae; Streptophyta; Magnoliopsida; Arecales; Arecaceae
Description: long non-coding RNA (EGUI_LNC032529)
Source: RNAcentral